This 498-nucleotide ribosomal RNA is filed under the name uncultured bacterium. Its description in RNAcentral is "partial 16S ribosomal RNA". It matches the Rfam family "Bacterial small subunit ribosomal RNA", at positions 29 to 523 of the family's 1533-position model. The record is from RNAcentral.
AUUGAACGCUGGCGGCAUGCUUUACACAUGCAAGUCGAACGGUAACAGGCCGCAAGGUGCUGACGAGUGGCGAACGGGUGAGUAAUGCAUCGGAACGUGCCCAGUCGUGGGGGAUAACGCAGCGAAAGCUGUGCUAAUACCGCAUACGAUCUGUGGAUGAAAGCGGGGGACCUUCGGGCCUCGCGCGAUUGGAGCGGCCGAUGUCAGAUUAGGUAGUUGGUGGGGUAAAGGCUCACCAAGCCGACGAUCUGUAGCUGGUCUGAGAGGACGACCAGCCACACUGGGACUGAGACACGGCCCAGACUCCUACGGGAGGCAGCAGUGGGGAAUUUUGGACAAUGGGCGCAAGCCUGAUCCAGCAAUGCCGCGUGCAGGAAGAAGGCCUUCGGGUUGUAAACUGCUUUUGUACGGAGCGAAAAGGCUCCCUCUAAUACAGGGGGCUCAUGACGGUACCGUAAGAAUAAGCACCGGCUAACUACGUGCCAGCCGCCGCGGUAA